This is a non-coding RNA of Syngnathus acus (greater pipefish), 83 nucleotides long. The record is from the annotation of a RefSeq genome assembly. NCBI's taxonomy places the organism in Eukaryota, Metazoa, Chordata, Actinopteri, Syngnathiformes, Syngnathidae.
GUUGUUGUGGCCGAGUGGUUAAGGCGAUGGACUGGAAAUCCAUAUGGGGUCUCCCCUCUCAUGUUCGAAUCCUGCUGACAACA